GAUGAACGCUGGCGGCGUGCCUAACACAUGCAAGUAGAACGGUGACGGAGGAGCUUUUUCUUCUGGAUGAGUUGCGAACGGGUGAGUAACGCGUAGGUAACCUGCCUGGUAGUGGGGGAUAACUAUUGGAAACGAUAGCUAAUACCGCAUGACAACAUCUCUUGCAUGAUAACGGUUUAAAAGGGGCAACUGCUCCACUACCAGAUGCAGCUGCGUUGUAUUAGGUUGUUGGGGAGGUAACCGCUCACCAAGGCGACGAUACAUAGUCGGCGUGAGAGGGGGGACGGCCAGCCUGGGACUGUGACCCGGCCCAAGACCCUUCGGGGAGCAGCCAGAGGGAAACUUCGGACAAGGACGGAAAGCUUGCCGAGGAAGGCCGGGGGGGUGGAGGAAGUUCUCGGGUCGGAAAGGUCUGUUGUAAGGGAAGAAAGAGAGUGAGGGUGGAACGUUCACUCUGUGACGGUAUCUGAACAGGAAGCGACGGCUAACUACGUG
This 495-nucleotide ribosomal RNA is filed under the name uncultured bacterium. RNAcentral describes it as "partial 16S ribosomal RNA". It matches the Rfam family "Bacterial small subunit ribosomal RNA", at positions 28 to 507 of the family's 1533-position model. The record is from RNAcentral.